GUAACACGUAUGCAACCUACCCUUUACUGGGGCAUAGCUCAGAGAAAUCUGAAUUAAUUCCCCAUAAUAUAAUUAUAUGGCAUCAUUUGAUUAUUAAAGCUGAGGCGGUAAAGGAUGGGCAUGCGUUGCAUUAGCUAGUUGGUGAGGUAAUGGCUCACCAAGGCUACGAUGCAUAGGGGUUCUGAGAGGAUGAUCCCCCACACUGGUACUGAGACACGGACCAGACUCCUACGGGAGGCAGCAGUAGGGAAUAUUGGUCAAUGGACGCAAGUCUGAACCAGCCAUGCCGCGUGCAGGAAGACGGCCCUCUGGGUUGUAAACUGCUUUUAUAUGGGAAGAAACCCCUGGAUGCGUCCAGGGCUGACGGUACUUUAUGAAUAAGGAUCGGCUAACUUCGUGCCAGCAGCCGCGGUAAGACGAAGGAUCCAAGCGUUGUCCGGAUUUACUGGGUUUAAAGGGUGCGUAGGCGGACUGAUAAGUCAGUGGUGAAAGCCCAUAGCUCAACUAUGGAACUGCCAUUGAAACUGCCGGUCUUGAAUUCGGUUGAGGCAGAUGGAAUAUAACAUGUAGCGGUGAAAUGCUUAGAUAUGUUAUAGAACACCGAUUGCGAAGGCAGUCUGCUAAGUCGACAUUGACGCUGAGGCA
RNAcentral lists this ribosomal RNA (645 nucleotides) under uncultured bacterium. Its description in RNAcentral is "bacterial SSU rRNA". It matches the Rfam family "Bacterial small subunit ribosomal RNA", at positions 110 to 753 of the family's 1533-position model. The record is from RNAcentral.